CAUGCAUGUCUAAGUAUAAGCAAUUAUACCGUGAAACUGCGAAUGGCUCAUUAAAUCAGUUAUCGUUUAUUUGAUAGUACCUUACUACUUGGAUAACCGUGGUAAUUCUAGAGCUAAUACAUGCUGAAAACCCCAACUUCGGGAGGGGUGUAUUUAUUAGAUAAAAAACCAACGCCCUUCGGGGCUUCUUGGUGAUUCAUGAUAACUUCACGGAUCGCAUGGCCUUGCGCCGGCGACGGUUCAUUCAAAUUUCUGCCCUAUCAACUUUCGAUGGUAAGGUAUUGGCUUACCAUGGUUUCAACGGGUAACGGGGAAUUAGGGUUCGAUUCCGGAGAGGGAGCCUGAGAAACGGCUACCACAUCCAAGGAAGGCAGCAGGCGCGCAAAUUACCCAAUCCCGACACGGGGAGGUAGUACAAUAAAUACUGAUACAGGGCUCUUUUGGGUCUUGUAAUUGGAAUGAGUACAAUUUAAACCUCUUAACGAGGAACAAUUGGAGGGCAAGUCUGGUGCCAGCAGCCGCGGUAAUUCCAGCUCCAAUAGCGUAUAUUAAAGUUGUUGCAGUUAAAAAGCUCGUAGUUGAAACUUGGGCCUGGCUGGCAGGUCCGCCUCACCGCGUGUACUUGUCCGGCCGGGCCUUUCCUUCUGGAGAACCUCAUGCCCUUCACUGGGUGUGCUGGGGAACCAGGACUUUUACUUUGAAAAAAUUAGAGUGUUCAAAGCAGGCCUUUGCUCGAAUACGUUAGCAUGGAAUAAUAGAAUAGGACGUGCGGUCCUAUUUUGUUGGUUUCUAGGACCGCCGUAAUGAUUAAUAGGGACAGUCGGGGGCAUCAGUAUUCAAUUGUCAGAGGUGAAAUUCUUGGAUUUAUUGAAGACUAACUACUGCGAAAGCAUUUGCCAAGGAUGUUUUCAUUAAUCAGUGAACGAAAGUUAGGGGAUCGAAGACGAUCAGAUACCGUCGUAGUCUUAACCGUAAACUAUGCCGACUAGGGAUCGGGCGAUGUUCUUUUUCUGACUCGCUCGGCACCUUACGAGAAAUCAAAGUUUUUGGGUUCUGGGGGGAG
Molecule: ribosomal RNA, 1063 nt
Filed under: Pseudotrichia aurata
Lineage: Eukaryota; Fungi; Ascomycota; Dothideomycetes; Pleosporales; Melanommataceae
Description: SSU rRNA
Rfam family: Eukaryotic small subunit ribosomal RNA
Source: RNAcentral